UACGGGGGGGGCAAGCGUUGUUCGGAAUUACUGGGCGUAAAGGGCUCGUAGGCGGCCCACUAAGUCAGACGUGAAAUCCCUCGGCUUAACCGGGGAACUGCAUCUGAUACUGGAUGGCUUGAGUUUGGGAGAGGGAUGCGGAAUUCCAGGUGUAGCGGUGAAAUGCGUAGAUAUCUGGAGGAACACCGGUGGCGAAGGCGGCAUCCUGGACCAACACUGACGCUGAGGAGCGAAAGCCAGGGGAGCAAACGGG
This 253-nucleotide ribosomal RNA is filed under the name uncultured bacterium. Its description in RNAcentral is "partial 16S ribosomal RNA". It matches the Rfam family "Bacterial small subunit ribosomal RNA", at positions 524 to 776 of the family's 1533-position model. The record is from RNAcentral.